AACCUUUACACUGCACGCCAGUGCGAUAAGGGGACUCCAAGUGCGAGGGCAUAUAGUCCUCGCUUUUCUGGACCGUAAGGAGGUCCAGGAACAAGGGCUGGGCAAGACCGGUGCCAGCCGCCGCGGUAAUACCGGCAGCCCAAGUGAUGGCCGCUCUUAUUGGGCCUAAAGCGUCCGUAGCUGGCCAGGCAAGUCCGUCGGGAAAUCCGCACGCCCAACGUGCGGGCGUCCGGUGGAAACUGCCUGGCUUGGGACCGGAAGACCUGAGGGGUACGUCCGGGGUAGGAGUGAAAUCCCGUAAUCCUGGACGGACCACCGGUGGCGAAAGCGCCUCAGGAAGACGGAUUCGACGGUGAGGGACGAAAGCUCGGGUCACGAACCGGAUUAGAUACCCGGGUAGUCCGAGCUGUAAACGAUGUCUGCUAGGUGUGACACAGGCUACGAGCCUGUGUUGUGCCGUAGGGAAGCCGUGAAGCAGACCGCCUGGGAAGUACGUCCGCAAGGAUGAAACUUAA
RNAcentral lists this ribosomal RNA (515 nucleotides) under uncultured archaeon. RNAcentral describes it as "bacterial SSU rRNA". It matches the Rfam family "Archaeal small subunit ribosomal RNA", at positions 345 to 859 of the family's 1478-position model. The record is from RNAcentral.